This 406-nucleotide ribosomal RNA is filed under the name uncultured bacterium. Its description in RNAcentral is "partial 16S ribosomal RNA". It matches the Rfam family "Bacterial small subunit ribosomal RNA", at positions 30 to 526 of the family's 1533-position model. The record is from RNAcentral.
AUUGAACGCUGGCGGCAUGCCUAACACAUGCAAGUCGAACGAGGGGCGGACGGGAGAGCAAUGUCUGGGACACUGCCUGAUGGAGGGGGCUACCUACUGGAAACGUUAGCUAAUACCGCAUACCAUCAGAUGUGUCCAGAUGGGAUUAGCUUGUUGUUGGGGUAAAGGCUCACCAAGGCGACGAUCCGUAGCUGGUCUGAGAGGAUGACCAGCCACACUGGAACUGAGACACGGUCCAGACGCCUACGGGAGGCAGCAGUGGGGAAUAUUGCACAAUGGGCGAAAGCCGGAUGCAGCAAUGCCGCGUGUAUGAAGAAGGCCUUAGGGUUGUAAAGUACUUUCAGCGGGGAGGCGGUACCCACAGAAGAAGCACCGGCUAACUCCGUGCCAGCAGCCGCGGUAAUUC